RNAcentral lists this ribosomal RNA (815 nucleotides) under uncultured bacterium. Its description in RNAcentral is "bacterial SSU rRNA". It matches the Rfam family "Bacterial small subunit ribosomal RNA", at positions 8 to 796 of the family's 1533-position model. The record is from RNAcentral.
AGAGUUUGAUCAUGGCUCAGAACGAACGCUGGCGGCGUGGAUAAGACAUGCAAGUCGAGCGGGACAUGAAGGGUAGCAAUAUUCUUUAUGUUCAGCGGCGCAAGGGUGCGUAACACGUGGGUAAUUUGCCAUGAAGUCUGGAAUAACUUGCUGAAAGGCGAGCUAAUGCCGGAUGUGACUUCCGAAGGGCAUCUUUUGGAAUUCAAAGUUGGGGACCGUAAGGCCUGACGCUUUGUGACAAGCCCGCGGUCUAUCAGCUAGUUGGUGAGGUAACGGCUCACCAAGGCUAAGACGGAUAGCUGGUCUGAGAGGACGACCAGCCACACUGGAACUGAGACACGGUCCAGACACCUACGGGUGGCAGCAGUCGAGAAUUUUUCACAAUGGGCGAAAGCCUGAUGGAGCGACGCCGCGUGGGGGAUGAAUGGCUUCGGCCCGUAAACCCCUGUCAUUCGCGAACAAACCUUUCCACUUAACACGUGGAGAGCUGAUUGUAGCGAAAGAGGAAGGGACGGCUAACUCUGUGCCAGCAGCCGCGGUAAUACAGAGGUCCCAAGCGUUGUUCGGAUUCACUGGGCGUAAAGGGUGCGUAGGUGGUGAGGAAAGUCGGAUGUGAAAUCUCCAAGCUCAACUUGGAAACUGCAUUGGAAACUACCUUGCUAGAGGAUUUGAGGGGGGAUUGGAAUACUUGGUGUAGCAGUGAAAUGCGUAGAUAUCAAGUGGAACACCAGUGGCGAAGGCGAAUCCCUGGAAAAUACCUGACACUGAGGCACGAAAGCUAGGGGAGCAAACAGGAUUAGAUACCCUAGUAGUCC